This 258-nucleotide ribosomal RNA is filed under the name uncultured bacterium. RNAcentral's name for it is "partial 16S ribosomal RNA". It matches the Rfam family "Bacterial small subunit ribosomal RNA", at positions 793 to 1055 of the family's 1533-position model. The record is from RNAcentral.
GUCCACGCCCUAAACGAUGAUUACUCGAUGUGUGCAAUACACCGUACGCGUCUGAGCGAAAGCAUUAAGUAAUCCACCUGGGGAGUACGACCGCAAGGUUGAAACUCAAAGGAAUUGACGGGGGCCCGCACAAGCGGAGGAGCAUGUGGUUUAAUUCGAUGAUACGCGAGGAACCUUACCAGGGCUUGAAAGUUAAGGAAUGAUGUAGAAAUAUGUCAGUCAGCAAUGACCUAAAACUAGGUGCUGCAUGGCUGUCGU